Molecule: long non-coding RNA, 3758 nt
Organism: Equus caballus (horse)
Lineage: Eukaryota; Metazoa; Chordata; Mammalia; Perissodactyla; Equidae
Source: Ensembl
CAGACAGAGAGAAGCAGACAAUUGCAACUGUGUACCAGAAUAGGUUAAAAACUGUUAAUUAUAACAUAAAGGCUAAAGGAAAGAAAGCAUCAAAAAUACCUAUAACCACUUCAAUUUGGUAACAAACUCACAAUACAAAAAAGGAUAAUAUGUGACAACAAAAACAUAGCAGAAGAGGAAAAGGACAGAACCUGUAUAGGCAAAUGGAGAUAAGACACUAUCAGCAGAAAAACGACUAUCUCAUCUAUGAGAUCUUUUAUACAAACCUCAUGGUAACAACAAAACAAAAAUUCAGAACAGAGUCAUGAAACACAAAAAGAGAGGGAACCAAGGGCAGGGGAGGGGAUGAGGAGCCUCCGCGGGGGUCCAGCUUACAGGUCAACCAGCUGUCACCUCCUCUGGGUGACUCCCUCCAAAAGUGAAAUGUUCUUAUCACAAAAAAAGUUAAUUGAUUAAUAAUACUAAAGUAGGCAGGAAGAAACUUUUGGAAGUGAUGGAUAAGUGCAUGGCAUAGACUGUGGUGAUGAUCUCAUGAAUGUACAGUUAUCUCCAAACUCAUAAGUUGUACACACUAAAUGUGUUUAGAUUUUGUGUGUCAAUUAUAUCUCAACAAAGUGGUUUAACAAGAAAGACAGAAACAUAUCCAAGGUCAUGGAGUUUUUUAUGACAGAGCCUAAAAUUCAAACCCAGAUUGCCUGAGUUCAAAGCGGCAAUUUAAAUUAUCUGUACCUAAAUUCUGAAUUUAGAACAACUGCAUAUCAGGAGAUGAUUUGAAUAAAAAUCCUAAUUUAAAGUAAUAAAUAUCCCCAGGCAAACCUGCCUGGGACUCAGACUAUCACGGGCUCUGGAAAAGGGAAGCAGAAUGUUCCAGAAGCAAAAAAAGAGAAAAAGAGGAUACAUACAGAACCAGGGCAGAGACGUUUUCUUUGUCACACUUGAGGAGGGGUUUCUUCAUUCUCAUGCAGGACCCUGGUGUUAACUGCAGAACCACAUUACAUUAUCUGUGGUUGUAUCUACAACUCUAUGCUGGGUUAACCGGACAGUCAACGUAGGUCCAGUCAGUCUCAGUAAAGCUUUUAUGAUGUCAUCAUAAAGCCACAAUUUAAAAAACAAAAACCGUUCAGGUAUUGUCAAAGAAAUUAUUAACAAGCAAUAUUAGAUACCGUUAAGGAAGCAACGUACCUCACUGAGAGUCCUGUCAAAACCCUGCUGCACGAGACUGCAGGCCGGCCGAACCUCCUCCUUGUUCCCAUUGGGUGGCAGCUUGUCACAGAAACACAUCCAGAAAAUCACCCAUGCUGUUUAACUUCAGGACACAUCAUUUCCCUACCCUCACAAAACACCAGGUUUUGUGUCCCAACUCUGCUUUGGGCCGUGUUCCCAAUCAGCUGUGGCCGGAGGGAUGAGGGUGCAUGCGAUGAAACACGAAUGCUGCCCCUCAGGCCUGGGAUGAGGCAGCAUCCCUCAGCACGGGGUGUUGGUAGACAGGCACUCCAAGGGACAGCUAGGAAACGGGGAUUCAUAUUGCUGCCUGGCUAGAAGCCCCAUGAAGAAGUUAUUCUUCCCGUCAAAGACAGUGAAAUAAAAGAAGUGGAGGGCCAGCCCACUGGCGCAGAGGUUAAGUUUGCACAUUCCGCUUCUCGGCGGGCCAGGGUUCGCCAGUUCGGAUCCCAGAUGUGGACAUGGCACAGCUUGGCGAAAGCCACGCUGUAGUAGGCGUCCCACAUAUAAAGUAGAGGAAGAUGGGCAUGGAUGUUAGCUCAGGGCCAGGCUUCCUCAGCAAAAAGAGGAGGAUUGGCGGCAGUUAGCUCAAGGCUAAUCUUCCUAAAGAAAAAAAAAAAAGAAGUGGAGAAGAAGACAAAUACCCAAAUACAAAGCACAGGAUACUCAAUGAUGAGCAUGUCAGAGAGAAAUGAAAGAGUCAUCCCACAGUAAUGAACACAUGAGCUCAGGUGUAUGGAGAGUAUUCUUGAAGGAGUCAAUUAAAAAGAUUUGGAAGUGGAAGUGAAACGUGAUUAACUGUGCAUAUUGGUUAUUGAUCAUUUCCCUCACAUUUAUGAGACCACGCAAGAAGAAGAGAAAUUGGAUAGAACUUAACGCAAAAUGACCAAAAACCAUUCUAUUCAUAAGAGAGAGAAGGUGAGUUACUUGAGCCAGGGUGAAGAUUGUAACCUGGAAAGGCCUUUUCCAGAAAGAACGGAAGAGUCCUGGAGAAGCAUGGUUUUCAGUAAGGUCUUAUACCUUUUUAGAACAAAGAACACGCAUUAAACAAGCCCAGGAUACAUAUUCAUCAAAGAUUCAGAGAGAUAUUCAGCUGCAAAUUAGCGGGUCAACAUGACUCUGACAUCAGAGAGAGGGACUAAUAUGAGUAUUGCCAAUAGGGUGCAGGAGGGGAAGUGUGCAUUCUCCUCUUAAGGGAGCACAUUCUUCAGUGGUUAAAGCAGAGGUACGAAGUGCGUUUGAUGGGACGUAAGUCAGGCUGCUUCAGUUCGAGCCGAAUCUGUUUUUGAACCUGAAUAGUUACCCCAUAUUCUUCAAUGGGUGAAAAUCACCUGUCAAACUGAAACAGAAAUUAUUUUCUUAGCCACUUGUGGUAAAAGUUUCCUAAAUAAAAAGGAAUAGACCCCAUUCUAUUCAUUGUCAGUAUGGAUAUUGUUAUGUUUAAGUUAACUGUGUACUAGAAGGUUUAUAGGUCUCAUUUCAUCAUGUGGUUUGAAUCACCUGAUUUAAUCACACUGCUUCCUGCAUAAUCUCCCAAAUGGAAGUGCUAGACACAGAUAUGGAUGUAGAUAGAUAUAGAUAUAGAUGCAGGUAUAGAUACAGAUAUAGAUAUAGAUACAGGUACAGAUACAGAGAUAGAUAUAGAGAUAGAUAUAGACAUAGGUAAAGAUAUAGAUAUAAAUAUAGGUAUAGAUACAGAGAUAGGUAUAGAUAUAGAUAUAGGUAUAGGUAUAGAUAUGGGUACAGGUAUAGAUACAGAGAUAGGUAUAGAUAUAGGUAUAGGUAUAGAUAUGGGUACAGGUAUAGAUAUAGGUAUAGGUAUAGAUAUAGGUAUAGAUACAGAUACAGAGAUAGAGAUAGAUAUAGAUAUAGGUAUAAGUAUAGAUAAAGAUACAGAUAUAGACAUAGAUAUAGAUGUCUGACUUACCUCCUGUGGGCAAAAUUCUAGAAAAUUCUAGAGCCUAAACAGGUGAACCUAGGGAAGCAGAGCACCUUGUGCACUACUGACCUUACAGGGCUUUCAGUUUCACGGGAACAGAUACUAUUAAGCGCCAUCACCUAACAGAAGACUAAAGGAGAGGAACGGGUGUCUACAACACUUUAGCCACACUCACAGAUGUCACAACAACCCUUCCUCUAUCCCUUAUUAUCCACCCCCAAACACACACAAAUUCUUUUAAAAAAAUACAUACACAAGUAUAUUCUUGGACUCAGAUCGUUGAGCAACCCUAGAUUAUUUUUCUCCAUCUAAUGCUAUACCCAUGUACUCUCCUUUAUAAUCCCCCAAAGAACGUAUCUAAAUUAAACUGUUCCAGCAUUAAAAAUUCUUCAUGGAAGUCUUAAUCUAUUUCCCCCUUAUUCCAGCCCUUUCCUAAGCUCAUGGACAACCAGAAACAAAGAACAGGUGUUCAGUAAAUGAUAAUCUUGGAAAGCUCAAUUAAGGAUGAAUACCCUUAGAUGGGUUCCGUACAGCUUGCACACUUACUGCAAGUGAGACGCCAACCCAAAUUUAUACUGAAAAGAGAACAAAAUAAUUU